CGCUGGCGGCACGCCUAACACAUGCAAGUCGAACGGUGAAGAGAAGCUUGCUUCUCGGAUCAGUGGCGGACGGGUGAGUAACAUGUGAGGAACCUGCCUUCAGAGGGGAUAACGUUGGAAACGAACGCUAAUACCGCAUAACAUAUUCGGACGGCAUCGUCUGAAUAUCAAAAGGAGCAAUCCGCUAGAAAGAUGAGCUCGCGUCUGAUUAGCUAGUUGGUGAGGUAACGGCCCACCAAGGCGACGAUCAGUAGCCGGACUGAGAGGUUGAACGGCCACAUUGGAACUGAGAUACGGUCCAGACUCCUACGGGAGGCAGCAGGUGGGGAAUAUUGGGCAAUGGGCGCAAGCCUGACCCAGCAACGCCGUGUGAAGGAAGAAGGUCUUCGGAUUGUAAACUUCUGUUCGUUUAGGGAAGAAAAAACGACGGUACCUAAGGAGGAAGCCACGGCUAACUACGUG
RNAcentral lists this ribosomal RNA (462 nucleotides) under uncultured bacterium. RNAcentral's name for it is "bacterial SSU rRNA". It matches the Rfam family "Bacterial small subunit ribosomal RNA", at positions 34 to 507 of the family's 1533-position model. The record is from RNAcentral.